RNAcentral lists this transfer RNA (126 nucleotides) under Deinococcus arboris. RNAcentral's name for it is "Deinococcus sp. HMF7620 tRNA-OTHER". It matches the Rfam family "tRNA". From Rfam's summary of the family: Transfer RNA (tRNA) molecules are approximately 80 nucleotides in length. Their secondary structure includes four short double-helical elements and three loops (D, anti-codon, and T loops). Further hydrogen bonds mediate the characteristic L-shaped molecular structure. tRNAs have two regions of fundamental functional importance: the anti-codon, which is responsible for specific mRNA codon recognition, and the 3' end, to which the tRNAs corresponding amino acid is attached (by aminoacyl-tRNA synthetases). tRNAs cope with the degeneracy of the genetic code in two manners: having more than one tRNA (with a specific anti-codon) for a particular amino acid; and 'wobble' base-pairing, i.e. permitting non-standard base-pairing at the 3rd anti-codon position. The record is from RNAcentral. Lineage: Bacteria; Thermotogati; Deinococcota; Deinococci; Deinococcales; Deinococcaceae.
GCAGCGGGUAGCUCAGUUGGCAGAGCCAUUGGCACCAGCUUUCACACCUAUUUGUCCAUCUCUGGGCCGCUGUGAAAGGUUACCUCUUCAUCAAUAGGUCGCGGGUUCGACUCCCGCCCCGCUGCA